UCAGCAUAUUGCAGUCAUUGCAGCAGCGAGUUCUAUGAAGCACAUCAAUCAAGGGUACAUAGUCAAUGACAAUCCCUCCCAUUUAAUUAGAUGGUUUGCCAGUUUCUUCAUGUAGAUAGUAUCAUAGUGAUGCGAUUCAGAUGUUUAUAAUUCUUUUCUAACAUUACAUGUUCUUGUAGUCAUUCAUUUUGAAACCACGGAGGCCAUCGCAUUAUGCAUUGGUUAGACUAGGUAAUUUCUGUUCUAUAACUUUUCUAUCAAUAUGCCAAGAUCGACUGUUCGCCUCACCUUUAUUCUACAAUGCCAAAAUGUCCAGAACAUAAGGGCAACAUAAAUUUCAAGCUUUUAGACCUUACUUAUGUUAUGAACUUAUGAUAUAUGUCUAAAUUCUAUAGAUGUUUUAUCCUUUGCUACAUCUGAGUAUACACUAAUUAGUUAAACCUUUUCUUCUCCGGAUCUGCAUUCCACCUGUACUAAUUGCGAGAUUAUAUAUGUGUUUGUGUUCAUUCUUAAUUUAAACUAGACCUAGCUGUAUAUACUACAAAAUUUGUUAAACUUGCGCUGGGCAGGUUUCCAUGAUGAGUUCGUAGCCUUUAUGAAGUUGUUGCUGAUUGUUUUCUGUAAUCAUCGCUCAUUUCUCGUCUCCAUAGCAGAAAAUUUGAUUCUUGCCUCUAACCUUGAUCCUGAUGAAACAAUUGCUUGGCACAAUAAAUAAAUGUUUGAGUGGCAUGAUGUGUUAGGUUUCCAUGAUUUACUGUCAUUUACAUGAGGAGGUGGCAGUUUUGGCUACCUCCACCCGCCUCAGUCUGUUUUUUAAAGUGGGAAGUGAUGAAUCGAACAAGGAGGAAGGACGACGUGUUUGUUCUUUCCGGCGUGUUUACUAGACUUUGUAUAUAUGAACUUCACCUCAUAUUUUCUUCCUGGCUUGAUAAGAACUGAACAAUACAAUUUGGUUUCUCGUGUCCAGUAUUCCAGAUUGAGUGAUGCUAGAGAUAUGCGACCCUUAGACCAGUUUACGAAAUGCUUUAGGUUUAUUUUUCUUUCAUGUACAUAGCUGGAAGUAGUCUGAUAGCCAUUUUAUAAGGAUAAACAAGGCUUACUGUACGUAAGGUUUGAGACUACCCCAUUUCAAAUAACUAAGGGAAUCACUAUUCCUCAAAUGCAAGAUAUUGGUUUAUUUUAUUUCGUAUGGCAUGUUUUUGUUUCAGUUCUUUGUUUUUUCAAUCCAUUUGCUUUCUUGCAGUCUUUGUGAUAACAGUGAUUUGAGAAGGAUCUGUCUCUGUAGCUGUAGAUGAUAACUACAUAAUUAUUUGUUCUUUCUAUGUGAAAUAUUUAACCUUCAGUACUUAUAAUGCACAAAUAUAAAAUUGUAUAUUGCUAUUAUGUUCUUCUAUCCUAGAAUUAUUUCCCUUAUCUGCCUAUCUUGAUCAUGAAAUUAAGUCAAUUUCUUCUAUUAUCUUCAUGUGUUUGGGGAUAGGAUUCUGAAAGCUUGCCUAAUAAUUUUAUCAUAUAAGUUGAAAUUCAGUAAAACAUUCCCACUUGACAGUUCUGUUGUUAUUCCCUUAAAUGUUGAUCCAAGUGUCAUAAAUGACACAAGAUGCGUAGCUUGUUUUUUACCUUACAAUUUUGCUAGAUACAUUCUGAGAAUAUUUUGUGAGGCAUCCUGAUUUGCAUAUCACAGGCUGCUAGAGUUGUUCAAGCAGUUGUGUGCGUUCUACUUUUGAUAAUUUUUCUAUCUAUAUUUUGUACUUCAUUUAGUUUGAAUAGAUACCAUAACCUAGGCUAGGUUCAGUAACUAUUUGUUUGCUUUUUUUACAUAGCGGCUGAAUCAAAAUCAUUCUCUUAUUUCCCUGGUGGCCUGGUGCUUACGGUUUAAUUGCUAUAGUUGCUGGAGCCAUUGGCCUUUUAUACAUAAUAGUGUAUACAUUUAUAAUGUCAAUCCUUGCUCAUGGUACAUCUUUCUUGGUUGUCUGGCGACAAGAGUUAGCAUAUCAACCAUGUGAGUAGGCCUUGCACUAACCUCGGUAUUGGCAACAGAUCCGACAAAUUUACUAAUUUGAUCUUAACAAUUAUACUAUGGGUUUGCCUUAGUUGACCAUCAACUGUGCAUCAUGCAAUUAAAAAAACUCUUGCCACUGUAGUUUUACUUCUAACUAAAGGGAUUCAAUUGACUGUGAGAGGAGAGCAGAGCAGCAAGAGGGGAACUCACUCCUCAACACGGCGACCUGCGCGGGCGUGAGCUUCGCCGUGAACCUGUUGAUGGCGUUCUUGUAGCUGUAGACCAGCGUCACUUUCGGCCUUCUCCUUACUUGGAAAAGAACCUAUCAUAGACUUCACCCAGCCUUCUUGUAGCUGUAGACCAUCAUGUCAUGUAAUUACUUGCAAAACAACUAUAUUGUUUUUUGGUAUUGUAAAGCGGAAAUGGUAGAACUCUACAACUUCUCUGUUAGUGUCGCUUGAUUAUUUACUUUCUCAUGUAUUGUGGAUAUAGUGCUGUCGGUAUAUUAAGUAUAUGCACGAAGAUAUGCAAAUUUUAAGUAUAUGCAUGUCGUACACACCUAGAGGGCUUUUCUGAACAGACUAGGCUUUUAGUAGAUUUGGGUUUCUAUUUGCAUUCAUUUUUGCCUCUCUUUUCUGCUGCAGCUCCGCUGGUUCUUUGUUCUUGCUGCGCUUUGGGUUGACUUGCCAUGGAACCGUUUGGCUGAGGUGUCUCCAUCACCAUUAUUUGCUAUGUUUUGGAUUUGCCAGCUCACUGACUGCUACAUUUUUCCUCUUGUUGGCCUCUUCUUUUUCUGUCGUCGUCCAUCGAUCCAACCUGCUGUUGUUCGCUUCGUCGGCUUGCAGUUGCUUCUAGAGCGUGCUGUGGAUUCGUUGUGCCUCCUUCCAAUAUAGGUUCUCUUUGAUUCCACUGCCUUUGCAUAUGCAUGUCUGAUAUUUUAAUCUAUAGAGUCCAAAGGAGAACAGAGGAGAAGUGUGAAAUAGAUAGAGUUUGUGCUGAGAAGUUCCUGACUAAUUCAUGCUGUACUAGUCAUGGCUACAUGUUUGUUAGUCAUUUGGCUGGGUCAGGCUUAUGUAGGGAAUAUUUUCUUAAUGAAAGAUAUGGUGAUAGGAAAUAGUAAGUGUAGUUUCGGCAUAUGUACCUGCAAAUUUCUCAAGGAUCAAUCGUAGUUGUUCUUGAACAAAGCAUUCAUGGAAUUUCAUUUUCAGUUUCAAGUAUUAAAGGAAAGGGUGGAUGUAAAGAAAUAGGAUUAUGCUUCUAUGGCAUGCAAUGUAAAGAAAUAGGUGAUAAUGUUGAAUUGCUUCCUUUCAUACUUGGAUCUCGCUAGAUU
This 3329-nucleotide long non-coding RNA is filed under the name Triticum aestivum (bread wheat). RNAcentral describes it as "long non-coding RNA (TAES_LNC018578)". Lineage: Eukaryota; Viridiplantae; Streptophyta; Magnoliopsida; Poales; Poaceae. The record is from RNAcentral.